RNAcentral lists this ribosomal RNA (301 nucleotides) under uncultured bacterium. RNAcentral describes it as "partial 16S ribosomal RNA". It matches the Rfam family "Bacterial small subunit ribosomal RNA", at positions 509 to 807 of the family's 1533-position model. The record is from RNAcentral.
CAGCCGCCACGGUAAUACGUAGGGCGCAAGCGUUAUCCGGAAUUAUUGGGCGUAAAGAGCUCGUAGGCGGUUUGUCGCGUCUGCCGUGAAGGUCCGGGGCUCAACCCCGGAUCUGCGGUGGGUACGGGCAGACUAGAGUGAUGUAGGGGAGACUGGAAUUCCUGGUGUAGCGGUGAAAUGCGCAGAUAUCAGGAGGAACACCGAUGGCGAAGGCAGGUCUCUGGGCAUUAACUGACGCUGAGGAGCGAAAGCAUGGGGAGCGAACAGGAUUAGAUACCCCGGUAGUCCCUGUCUCUUAUAC